This 268-nucleotide unclassified non-coding RNA is filed under the name Trichoderma harzianum. Its description in RNAcentral is "sequence contains 5.8S rRNA gene". The stretch from base 1 to 53 matches the Rfam family "5.8S ribosomal RNA", at positions 102 to 154 of the family's 154-position model. The record is from RNAcentral. Lineage: Eukaryota; Fungi; Ascomycota; Sordariomycetes; Hypocreales; Hypocreaceae.
GAACGCACAUUGCGCCCGCCAGUACUCUGGCGGGCAUGCCUGUCCGAGCGUCAUUUCAACCCUCGAACCCCUCCGGGGGGUCGGCGUUGGGGAUCGGCCCUCCCUCGCGGGGGGCCGUCUCCGAAAUACAGUGGCGGUCUCGCCGCAGCCUCUCCUGCGCAGUAGUUUGCACACUCGCACCGGGAGCGCGGCGCGUCCACAGCCGUUAAACACCCAACUUUCUGAAAUGUUGACCUCGGAUCAGGUAGGAAUACCCGCUGAACUUAAG